UACUCCUAGUAAUCUUGCGUUUUCUGUGCUCGCCUCGUUUUAAAAGAAUUAUUCCUUUUUUUUGGUUUUUUAGGUCCUUAACAUGUUACCGGAAAAACGCGACCUUAGACUUUUAGCGCUUUACGAAUUCAAAUUGGGCCACACUGCAGCAGAGGCGAGCCGUAAUAUCAACAGGGCAUUUGGGGAUGGAUCAGCUUCAGAACGCAAUGUUUACCGCUGGUUCACUAAAUUCCGUCAAGGAGAUAAAAGCCCGGAGGCUCAGCCACGUUGUGAUCGACAGUCAUUUUUCGACGACGACCGCCUGAACGCAGUAGCUGAAGAAAAUCCUCGGAAAUCGUAUGAAGCAUUGACAAAAGAAUUAGGGGUAUGCAAAGAAACCGUUCGCAUCCACCUCCAUUAAACGGACAAGACAAAAAACAAAACUCGACCAAUGAGUACCACAUGUUCUGAAAGGAGGGACGGACGGGGGCAUUCGUAUCGCUGCGUGAGAGGUGAAAUUCUUGGACCGUAGCGAGACGUCCGACUGCGAAAGCAUUUGCCAAGAAUGUCUUCAUUAAUCAAGAACGAAAGUCAGAGGUUCGAAGGCGAUCAGAUACCGCCCUAGUUCUGACCGUAAACGAUACCAACUAGCGUUCCGUCGGCGGUAAAUACGCCUUGACGGGCAGCUUCCCGGAAACGAAAGUCUUUCGGUUCCGGGGGAAGUAUGGUUGCAAAGCUGAAACUUAAAGAAAUUGACGGAAGGGCACCACCAGGAGUGGAGCCUGCGGCUUAAUUUGACUCAACACGGGAAAACUCACCUGGCCCGGACACCGUGAGGAUUGACAGAUUGAGAGCUCUUUCUUGAUUCGGUGGUUGGUGGUGCAUGGCCGUUCUUAGUUGGUGGAGUGAUUUGUCUGGUUUAUUCCGAUAACGAGCGAGACUCUAGCCUACUAAAUAGUCAUCGGAUAAACAAGUCCGGAAGACUUCUUAGAGGGACAAGCGGUGUUCAGCCGCAUGAAGUUGAGCAAUAACAGGUCUGUGAUGCCCUUAGAUGUCCAGGGCUGCACGCGCGCUACACUGGAGGAAUCAGCGUGCUGUAACCAUUGCCGAAAGGUAUUGGUAACCCGUUGAAAAUCCUCCGUGAUCGGGAUCGGGAAUUGCAAUUAUUUCCCUUGAACGAGGAAUUCCUAGUAAGUGUGAGUCAUCAGCUCACGUUGAUUACGUCCCUGCCCUUUGUACACACCGCCCGUCGCUGCCCGGGACUGAGCCGUUUCGAGAAAAGCGGGGACUGCUGUUUCGAGACCUUCCGAGGUGGAGAUUCUUUGGUGGAAACCGCCUUAAUCGCAGUGGCUUGAACCGGGCAAAAGUCGUAACAAGGUUUCCGUAGGUGAACCUGCGGAAGGAUCAUUA
Molecule: ribosomal RNA, 1389 nt
Organism: Toxocara canis (dog roundworm)
Lineage: Eukaryota; Metazoa; Nematoda; Chromadorea; Rhabditida; Toxocaridae
Rfam family: Eukaryotic small subunit ribosomal RNA
Source: Rfam